Molecule: ribosomal RNA, 1441 nt
Filed under: Salmonella enterica
Lineage: Bacteria; Pseudomonadati; Pseudomonadota; Gammaproteobacteria; Enterobacterales; Enterobacteriaceae
Description: partial 23S ribosomal RNA
Rfam family: Bacterial large subunit ribosomal RNA
Source: RNAcentral
AGACCCGAAACCCGGUGAUCUAGCCAUGGGCAGGUUGAAGGUUGGGUAACACUAACUGGAGGACCGAACCGACUAAUGUUGAAAAAUUAGCGGAUGACCUGUGGCUGGGGGUGAAAGGCCAAUCAAACCGGGAGAUAGCUGGUUCUCCCCGAAAGCUAUUUAGGUAGCGCCUCGUGAAUUCAUCUCCGGGGGUAGAGCACUGUUUCGGCUAGGGGGCCAUCCCGGCUUACCAACCCGAUGCAAACUGCGAAUACCGGAGAAUGUUAUCACGGGAGACACACGGCGGGUGCUAACGUCCGUCGUGAAGAGGGAAACAACCCAGACCGCCAGCUAAGGUCCCAAAGUCAUGGUUAAGUGGGAAACGAUGUGGGAAGGCCCAGACAGCCAGGAUGUUGGCUUAGAAGCAGCCAUCAUUUAAAGAAAGCGUAAUAGCUCACUGGUCGAGUCGGCCUGCGCGGAAGAUGUAACGGGGCUAAACCAUGCACCGAAGCUGCGGCAGCGACACUAUGUGUUGUUGGGUAGGGGAGCGUUCUGUAAGCCUGUGAAGGUGUGUCGUGAGGCAUGCUGGAGGUAUCAGAAGUGCGAAUGCUGACAUAAGUAACGAUAAAGCGGGUGAAAAGCCCGCUCGCCGGAAGACCAAGGGUUCCUGUCCAACGUUAAUCGGGGCAGGGUGAGUCGACCCCUAAGGCGAGGCCGAAAGGCGUAGUCGAUGGGAAACGGGUUAAUAUUCCCGUACUUGGUGUUACUGCGAAGGGGGGACGGAGAAGGCUAUGUUGGCCGGGCGACGGUUGUCCCGGUUUAAGCGUGUAGGUGUGUGUUCCAGGUAAAUCCGGUUCACUUUAACACUGAGGCGUGAUGACGAGGCACUACGGUGCUGAAGCAACAAAUGCCCUGCUUCCAGGAAAAGCCUCUAAGCAUCAGGUAACAUCAAAUCGUACCCCAAACCGACACAGGUGGUCAGGUAGAGAAUACCAAGGCGCUUGAGAGAACUCGGGUGAAGGAACUAGGCAAAAUGGUGCCGUAACUUCGGGAGAAGGCACGCUGACACGUAGGUGAAGUGAUUUACUCAUGGAGCUGAAGUCAGUCGAAGAUACCAGCUGGCUGCAACUGUUUAUUAAAAACACAGCACUGUGCAAACACGAAAGUGGACGUAUACGGUGUGACGCCUGCCCGGUGCCGGAAGGUUAAUUGAUGGGGUCAGCGCAAGCGAAGCUCCUGAUCGAAGCCCCGGUAAACGGCGGCCGUAACUAUAACGGUCCUAAGGUAGCGAAAUUCCUUGUCGGGUAAGUUCCGACCUGCACGAAUGGCGUAAUGAUGGCCAGGCUGUCUCCACCCGAGACUCAGUGAAAUUGAACUCGCUGUGAAGAUGCAGUGUACCCGCGGCAAGACGGAAAGACCCCGUGAACCUUUACUAUAGCUUGACACUGAACAUUGAGCCUUG